This 684-nucleotide long non-coding RNA is filed under the name Struthio camelus australis. RNAcentral describes it as "lncRNA (ENSSCUG00000009020.1)". The record is from RNAcentral. Lineage: Eukaryota; Metazoa; Chordata; Aves; Struthioniformes; Struthionidae.
CUGCCUGGUGCAUACCUCCACUGUCUUUUUCAGAUGUGGAUGCAAACUGCAGAUAAGAGUAUGCACACUUUUUUUCUUCUUCUUCUUAGUGCUGCUGUGAAGUUACAGUCGCAAUAUUAAGAUGACAAGAAGUUCAAGACAAGAUAAAGGACCUUGGUGUGAUUGGACACUGAGAGUUCCUUAUUCUGCAAACCUCUAAGUACCUUAAGCUACUUCAGUUGGGCAAAAAAAGAUAACCAAGGAGGGAAAGUCUACUGUGUCAUGAAUGGCUUCAGGAAGGUGAAGAUGGAAGAAUCAUUCAGAGAACAAGAACUACGGGGCAAACGGUGAAAGGACCAGAAGGUGAUGGCAAGCGAGGCUGUUUUUCCAGCAUGAGUACAACUGAGUAAUAAAGCCGAAGGGUGAAGAACAGUCGCCAAGGCAAAGAACAAUCAUCAAGGCAGCUAUUGCAGUCCUCUGUGAACACAGGAGAGUCACAAGGCUUUGGUGGCUGGUAUUCCAUUAGCCAUUUCUCCAGCAGAGCUUGUAAUGGACAGAAUUUGUUGUUUGCAGCUAUCUACCGUAUUUAAAACUUGAAAGAAAAUGAUCUCUAUUUUUUUUCUGUUACCACUCCAGCAGUAAAUAACAACCACGUAAGUCGCAUUCUUGUAAUAUCUUUACUCAUGCAAAUUGCUUGACUUUCAU